CACGUAGUUAGCCGUGGCUUUCUGAUUAGGUACCGUCAAGACGUGCACAGUUACUUACACAUUUGUUCUUCCCUAAUAACAGAGUUUUACGAUCCGAAGACCUUCAUCACUCACGCGGCGUUGCUCCGUCAGGCUUUCGCCCAUUGCGGAAGAUUCCCUACUGCUGCCUCCCGUAGGAGUCUGGACCGUGUCGUCAGUUCCAGUGUGGCCGAUCACCCUCUCAGGUCGGCUACGUAUCGUUGCCUUGGUAAGCCAUUACCCCACCAACUAGCUAAUACGGCGCGGGUCCAUCUAUAAGUGAUAGCAAAAACCAUCUUUCACUUUAGAACCAUGCGGUUCUAAAUAUUAUCCGGCAUUAGCCCCGGUUUCCCGGAGUUAUUCCAGUCUUAUAGGUAGGUUACCCACGUGUUACUCACCCGUCCGCCGCUAACGUCAAAAGGAGCAAGCUCCUUAUCUGUUCGCUCGACUUUGCAUGUAUUAGGCACGCCGCCAGCGUCAUCUGAGCCAGGA
RNAcentral lists this ribosomal RNA (510 nucleotides) under uncultured Staphylococcus sp. RNAcentral describes it as "partial 16S ribosomal RNA". Lineage: Bacteria; Bacillati; Bacillota; Bacilli; Caryophanales; Staphylococcaceae. The record is from RNAcentral.